UGUAGGUCAUGACUCAUGAGACCAUAGCAUAAUGUAGCCUACAAAGAAAACACAGGAACAUAUUGAUUGUGUGACAUUUAAUUUAUUCAUUUGGUUAUAGAAAACAGUGACUUAAUAAUAAUGGGAUUAUCCAUAACAGUAACUUUUUCAUAUAAAAUAUAAUAUAUUUCAAUUUCAGAAAAAUAUGACAAAUCUAGUGCAUUCAUGGUAAUAAAAGCGCUCAGAAAUGCUGAACUUUUAUUUUAUCAGGUGUGCCGAACCAUAAUCGUCCGUUUGACAGGUGAGUCUUAGUUCUGUCUGUCUGGGUUCUUACACUUGUUACAAAGAUAUCAAUCAAUCAGUGACGGUCAGAUAUAAAUCCAGCGAAGCAGCAGUUGAGGGGGCAGUAUAACCGAGCGAGGUGAUCAGUGGAUCUCCCUCCACGUCUUGAACCACAUCGCCUUGGACAGGGGACAUAAACAUAGGAACAGCAGGCCAAGUUCUUCAGGGUUGCGUAACGAGGUGUGCUGUGCUGGUUAAAUCAGCAUAGAGUGAAGGUGCGGACUGUGCUGUGGUUGGUUUAUUUUCUCAUGGUUCAGAAAGGUUCAGAAUGGAUGAAGCCAACACCUGGGAUACUUGGACUGCAGAUUAGAGGAAGCUGGUGAGGGGAGGUUGGCUCAUAAUGAUGAAUAGAAUGGAGUGAAUGGCGAUGUAUCAAACACAUACUAUUAGCCCGUCCUCCCCAUUUGAAGUGCCACCAGCCACCACUGCGGUAGAUCCAAGGAGCAACACUGCAUGGAGAUCAACUGGACUGGUCUAGGCUUGGACAGAGACCCUCAGGAUCCAUCACAUACUACAUGCAAUCACUCCAAGGAAUCCACAACUGAGACAGCCAGCAAGCAGGCAGGCAGCAGCAGCUCUCCUGGUGGAACCACAGCGUGUAGUGGCUGACAUAUCAGUGAUGUUUAUUAAGAGACGAGUCUAUCAGGUUUCAUAAACCCGUACCUCGCAGACGCCACAUCUUUUGUUUCUUCCGGAGGGUGUCAUCAAUCUUAAUGCAGCGGGAGGCUUCUGCUUCGCUCUCCUGAGCGGUUGAUGGGAGAUCACAAAGCCCUCCCUCCCUCCUUUCCUCCCUCCAUCCCUCCCUCCUUCCUUCCCUCCCAUCUGAGUUGACUUGCCCAGCGCGACUCAAUGGUAAAGGAAGGUAGCUAACAGGCAGCAGGGUAGAAAGAAGACUAUAUACUCCGGUGAUUACCCCCAAUGAUUGAGAGGCGGGAUGGGUGCUACUACAGUAUAUACUGUAUGUGGACAUGACACCCGCAUUCGACCUCAGUCACUGAAAGGAUUGUACUUGGCAAAAUGAACGUUGUGCGCUUCUAUGUACAUCACGUUUAUGCUGUGACGUAUACAGUGCAUUCUGAAAGUAUUCAGACCCCUUCACUCUUUCCACAUUUUGUUACGUUACAGCCGUGUUCUACAAUGGAUUCAAUUGUUUUCUCUCAUCAAUCUACACACAAUACCCCAUAACGAGAAAGCAAAAAUAGGUUUUAGACAUUUUUGCAAAUGUAUUAAAAAUAAAAAAACUCAAAUAUUACAUUUACAUCAGUAUUCAGACCCUUAACUCAGUACUUUUUUGAAACACCUUCGGCAGCGAUUACAGCCUCAAAUCUUCAUGGGUAUGACGCUACAAGCUUGGCACACCUGUAUUUGGGGAGUUUCUCCCAUUCUUCUCUACAGAUCCUCUUAAGCUCUGUCAAGUUGGAUGGGGAGCGUUGUUGCACAGCUAUUUUCAGGUCGCUUUAGAGAUAUUCGAUUGGGUUCAAGUCUGGGCUCUGGCUGGGCCAUUCAAGACCAUUCAGAGACUUGUUCCGAAGCCUCUCCUGUGUUGUCUUGGUUGUGUGCUAAGGGUCGUUAUCCUGUUGGAAGGUGAACCUUCGACCCAUUCUGAGGUCUUGAGCGCUCUGGAGCAGGUUUUCAUCAAGGAUCUUUCUGUACUUUGCUCCAUUCAUCUUUGCCUUGAUCCUGACUUGUCUCCCUGUCCCUGCCGCAGAAAAACAUCCCCACAGCAUGAUGCUGCCACCACCAUGCUUCACCGUAGGGAUCAAAUCAAAUCAAAGUUUAUUUGUCACGUGCAUCAAAUACAACAGGUAUUUCACCUUACAGUGAAAUGCAAUAGAUAAGUAAAGAAUUCAAAAACAACAUUAAAAAAACAGUGAAUAAAACAGUAGUGAAGGCUAUAUACAGUAGCGAGGCUAAUUGAGGUAGUAUGUACAUGUAGGUAUGGAUGGUGCAAGAAAACCAGGUUUUCAGGAGUUCAAUUUUGGUUUCAUCAGACCAGAGAAUCCUGUUUCUUAUGGUCUGAGAGUCCUCUACCAUACAGGCCUGAUUGGUGGAGUGCUGCAGAGAUGCUUGUCUUUCUGGAAGGUUCUCCAAUCUCCACAGAGGAACUCUGGAGCUCUGUCAGAGUGACCAUUGGGUUCUUAGUCACCUCCCUGACCAAGGCCCUUCUCAGUUUGGUCCUGCGGCCAGCUCUAGGAAGAGUCUUGGUGGUUCCAAAACUUCUUCCAUUUAAGAAUUAUGGAGGCCACUGUGUUCUUGGGGACCUUCAAUGCUGCAUUUUUUGGUACCCUUCCCCAGAUCUGUGCCUCGACACAAUCCUGUCUCAGAGCUCUAUGGACAAUUCCUUCGACCUGAUGGCUUGGUUUUUGCUCUGACAUGCACUGUCAACUCUGGGACCUUAUAUGGACAGGUGUGUGCCUUUCCAAAUCAUGUCUAAUGAAUUUAAUUCAUCACAGGUGGACUCCAAUAAGGAUGUAGAAACAUCUCAAGGAUGAUCGAUGGAAACAGGAGGCACCUGAGCUCAAUUUCUGUCACGCCCUGACC
Long non-coding RNA from Oncorhynchus keta (chum salmon), 2862 nucleotides. RefSeq lists it as uncharacterized. The record is from RefSeq and is a predicted model, not a curated record. The transcript has 5 exons. Lineage: Eukaryota; Metazoa; Chordata; Actinopteri; Salmoniformes; Salmonidae.